This 164-nucleotide ribosomal RNA is filed under the name uncultured bacterium. RNAcentral's name for it is "partial 16S rRNA". It matches the Rfam family "Bacterial small subunit ribosomal RNA", at positions 355 to 511 of the family's 1533-position model. The record is from RNAcentral.
UAGGGAAUCUUCCACAAUGGACGAAAGUCUGAUGGAGCAACGCCGCGUGAGUGAAGAGGGUUUUCGGAUCGUAAAGCUCUGUUGUUGGUGAAGAAGGAUAGAGGCAGUGACUGGUCUUUAUUUGACUGUAAUCAACCAGAAAGUCACGGCUAACUACGUGCUAG